RNAcentral lists this unclassified non-coding RNA (434 nucleotides) under soil metagenome. Its description in RNAcentral is "partial contains 5.8S ribosomal RNA, internal transcribed spacer 2, and large subunit ribosomal RNA". The stretch from base 1 to 120 matches the Rfam family "5.8S ribosomal RNA", at positions 35 to 154 of the family's 154-position model. The record is from RNAcentral.
GAUGAAGAACGUAGCGAAAUGCGAUACGUAAUGUGAAUUGCAGAAUUCAGUGAAUCAUCGAAUCUUUGAACGCAUAUUGCGCUCUUUGGUAUUCCGAAGAGCAUGCUUGUUUGAGUAUCAGUAAACACCUCAAAGCUUUUGGAUUUUUUAAUCGAAAAGCUUUGGACUUGAGCAAUCCCAACACCAAUCUUUUUGAGAUCGGUGGCGGGUUGCUUGAAAUGCAGGUGCAGCUGGACAUUCUCCUGAGCUAAAAGCAUAUUCAUUUAGUCCCGUCAAACGGAUUAUUACUUUUGCUGCAGCUAACAUAAAGGGAGUUUGACCGUAUUGGCUGACUGAUGCAGGAUUCCACAAGGGUCGGCAACGAUUCUUGUUAAACUCGAUCUCAAAUCAAGUAAGACUACCCGCUGAACUUAAGCAUAUCAAUAAGCGGAGGA